GCGAGUGAAGAGGGAAGAGCCCAAGAUUGAAAGCUGGCGUCUUCGGCGUCCGCAUUGUAAUCUCAAGAAGUGUUUUCCGCUUCGGACCAUGCCUAAGUCCCUUGGAAAAGGGCAUCAUAGAGGGUGAUAAUCCCGUACAUGGCAUGGAGCGCCCGAAGCUUUGUGAUACGCUUUCUAAGAGUCGAGUUGUUUGGGAAUGCAGCUCAAAAUGGGUGGUAAAUGCCAUCUAAGGCUAAAUAUUGGGGAGAGACCGAUAGCGAACAAGUACAGUGAUGGAAAGAUGAAAAGAACUUUGAAAAGAGAGUUAAACAGUACGUGAAAUUGCCAAAAGGGAAGGGUAGGAGGUCAGAGAUGCGUUCUGGGAUUCAGCCUUGCUUUUGCUUGGUGUUUUUCCCAGAUUGCAGGCCAACGUCGGUUUUGGUCGCUGGAGAAGGGUGGAAGGAAUGUGGCACCUCUCGGGGUGUGUUAUAGCCUUCUACUGGAUACAGUGACCGGGACCGAGGACAGCAGCGUACUCGCAAGAGCGGGCCUUCGGGCACCUUUACGCUUAGGGCGUUGGCAUAAUGGCCC
RNAcentral lists this ribosomal RNA (570 nucleotides) under Pseudozyma sp. LCF-11. Its description in RNAcentral is "eukaryotic LSU rRNA". It matches the Rfam family "Eukaryotic large subunit ribosomal RNA", at positions 89 to 640 of the family's 3401-position model. Lineage: Eukaryota; Fungi; Basidiomycota; Ustilaginomycetes; Ustilaginales; Ustilaginaceae. The record is from RNAcentral.